Molecule: long non-coding RNA, 362 nt
Filed under: Mytilus galloprovincialis (Mediterranean mussel)
Lineage: Eukaryota; Metazoa; Mollusca; Bivalvia; Mytilida; Mytilidae
Source: RNAcentral
UCUGUAGGUUCCGUUAAUUUUACAAUUUAACAGUCACUUUCUGCAUUCUAUUUAAAUGGAGGGUUUUCUUUCUGUCCAGAAAAAACAGGCAAGAAAAAAGUGGGUGUCAAAAACUGGAUCCUCCUUUCACCUUUAAGCUGAGUCUUACUAUAUUGUUUUUAAUCAUUUUUAACAUGCUGUUUGACAUCACCAUGAUCACACUGUGGAACGUCUGGUUGGAAAGUUAUCUUUAUUCAAUUUCAAAAAGUUAUGUUGCCCUGAACACAUUGUUGUCCAUGUUUUCUGUUCAUACAUCCUGCAGUCACGUAUUGCAAUGUACAUGUAAGGCUUAUCUUUUGCACUUUUGUUCUCAUUAUUGUCAU